Molecule: ribosomal RNA, 403 nt
Filed under: uncultured bacterium
Lineage: Bacteria
Description: bacterial SSU rRNA
Rfam family: Bacterial small subunit ribosomal RNA
Source: RNAcentral
UAGGGAAUAUUGCAAAAUGGGCGAAAGCCCGAUGCAGCAACGCCGCGUGGGCGAUGAAGGCCUUCGGGUCGUAAAGCCCUUUUUGAGGGGAUGAGGAAGGACAGUACCCUCAGAAUAAGCCUCGGCUAACUACGUGCCAGCAGCCGCGGUAAAACGUAGGAGGCGAGCGUUAUCCGGAUUUACUGGGCGUAAAGCGCGUGCAGGCGGAUUGGAGAGUUGGAUGUGAAAGCUCCCGGCUUAACUGGGAGAGGUCGUUCAAUACUUCCAGUCUUGAGUGCAGUAGAGGGAAGUGGAAUUCCGGGUGUAGUGGUGAAAUGCGUAGAUAUCCGGAGGAACACCAGUGGCGAAAGCGGCCGACUGGACCUGACCUGACGCUGAGGCGCGAAGGCGUGGGGAGCGAACG